GACGAACGCUGGCGGCGUGCCUAAUACAUGCAAGUCGAGCGAAGUUUUUCUGGUGCUUGCACUAGAAAAACUUAGCGGCGAACGGGUGAGUAACACGUAAAGAACCUGCCUCAUAGACUGGGACAACUAUUGGAAACGAUAGCUAAUACCGGAUAACAGCAUUAACUGCAUGGUUGAUGUUUAAAAGUUGGUUUUGCUAACACUAUGGGAUGGCUUUGCGGUGCAUCAGCUAGUUGGUGGGGUAAAGGCCUACCAAGGCGACGAUGCGUAGCCGACCUGAGAGGGUGAUCGGCCACACUGGGACUGAGACACGGCCCAGACUCCUACGGGAGGCAGCAGUAGGGAAUCUUCCGCAAUGGGCGAAAGCCUGACGGAGCAACGCCGCGUGAGUGAAGAAGGAUUUCGGUUCGUAAAGCUCUGUUGUUAGGGAAGAAUGAUUGUGUAGUAACUAUACACAGUAGAGACGGUACCUAACCAGAAAGCCACGGCUAACUACGUG
This 499-nucleotide ribosomal RNA is filed under the name uncultured bacterium. RNAcentral describes it as "partial 16S ribosomal RNA". It matches the Rfam family "Bacterial small subunit ribosomal RNA", at positions 28 to 507 of the family's 1533-position model. The record is from RNAcentral.